UACGGGGGGGGCAAGCGUUGUUCGGAAUUACUGGGCGUAAAGGGCUCGUAGGUGGCCAACUAAGUCAGACGUGAAAUCCCUCGGCUUAACCGGGGAACUGCGUCUGAUACUGGUUGGCUUGAGUUUGGGAGAGGGAUGCGGAAUUCCAGGUGUAGCGGUGAAAUGCGUAGAUAUCGAGAGGAACACCUGCGGCGAAGGCGGGUUGCUGGGCUGACACUGACGCUGAGGCGCGAAAGCUAGGGGAGCGAACGGG
Molecule: ribosomal RNA, 253 nt
Filed under: uncultured bacterium
Lineage: Bacteria
Description: partial 16S ribosomal RNA
Rfam family: Bacterial small subunit ribosomal RNA
Source: RNAcentral